This 618-nucleotide ribosomal RNA is filed under the name Drosophila affinis. RNAcentral describes it as "partial 16S ribosomal RNA". It matches the Rfam family "Bacterial large subunit ribosomal RNA", at positions 1895 to 2756 of the family's 2925-position model. The record is from RNAcentral. Lineage: Eukaryota; Metazoa; Arthropoda; Insecta; Diptera; Drosophilidae.
UUAAAGUCUAACCUGCCCACUGAAAUUUUAAAUGGCCGCAGUAUUCUGACUGUGCAAAGGUAGCAUAAUCAUUAGUCUUUUAAUUGAAGGCUGGAAUGAAUGGUUGGACGAAAUAUUAACUGUUUCAUUUAAAUUUUUUAUAGAAUUUUAUUUUUUAGUCAAAAAGCUAAAAUAAAUUUAAAAGACGAGAAGACCCUAUAAAUCUUUAUAUUUUUAUUAUUUUAAUUGUAAAGAUUAAUUUUAUUUUAAUAAAUAAAAAUAUUUUAUUGGGGUGAUAUUAAAAUUUAAAAAACUUUUAAUUUUUAAAAACAUUAAUUUAUGAAUAAUUGAUCCAUUAAUAAUGAUUAAAAAAUUAAGUUACUUUAGGGAUAACAGCGUAAUUUUUUUGGAGAGUUCAUAUCGAUAAAAAAGAUUGCGACCUCGAUGUUGGAUUAAGAUAUAAUUUUGGGUGUAGCCGUUCAAAUUUUAAGUCUGUUCGACUUUUAAAUUCUUACAUGAUCUGAGUUCAAACCGGUGUAAGCCAGGUUGGUUUCUAUCUUUAAAAAAUUAUAAUAUUUUAGUACGAAAGGACCAAAUAUUAGAAUAAUUAUAUUUUAAAAAAGAAUAUUAUUAAUAUGU